Molecule: long non-coding RNA, 1069 nt
Filed under: Homo sapiens (human)
Lineage: Eukaryota; Metazoa; Chordata; Mammalia; Primates; Hominidae
Description: HSALNT0129513
Source: RNAcentral
GGAACAGGCUGGAGAAAGUGGCUCAAGGACCUGGUUACAGAAUUUUCUGGGGUUUAAAUACACUCUAGAGGUUUCCUGUUGGUUACUUGGUGUACACCCUAUGUAAAUGAAGUAGUGGCCCGCAAUCAGUCUGAUUGGUUGCAGGAGGGGAACAAUCAGAGACUGAAGCAAAGUUACAGUUACACCCUAUGCAAACGACUAAUUGGUUGCAGAAAGUGAUGAAUCAGAGGCUGAAGUGAAGUUACAAAGUUAUACUCCUAUGCAAAGGAAGACUUGGCCUGUGACCAGCCUGAUUGACUGCAGGAGGGGACCAGUCAGAGGUUCAUUCCAGUCUCUGAAGCAGUUCACGCUGUUGACUCUGGGCAGUAGCAUCUUUUCCUCACCUCGUAUUGCCAGUAACUGGAGCAAUAUGAGGUAGGGAGAAGAUGUCUCCAUGACCUGCUCCUUCAGAAGCUCUGUGCUUCAUCAAUAGUCAACUGAUAAACACUUUCCAGUGCCCAAAGCCAAAGGAUUGUGAUUGUUCUUUAUGUCACUUAUUUCUUUAUAGCUUUCCUUAUGUGGCUUAUUUUCCCCUCCAAUGCUGGAGGAUAAAGGAAUGAGGAAUUACAGUACUUUGGGAAACUUCAAAUGUUCAGAUCCAGCACUGAACUCUAUGAAUAAUUAUCUCCGUGUUGCAAGGUCCUCCAGUAGAAAGAGAAUGAAUAUUUCUGCCAGCUUUAGGGUAAUUUACUAAGGGAGAAAGAAGGCAAUUCCAACUUCCAUGAGCUGUGUCUUUGUACAACAUAAAAUAUCUAAGUCAUAAAUAAAAGUCUUAUAAAUGUUAAGACUAAUGAAAAAAUCAUGUAUCAAUAUGUUCAACACAUUUCUCUUGAUUGAAUAAGGCUUGGAGCAUAAUAUUUCUGUUUUAAAGAUUAUACCUAUACAUUUGUUCUUUCUUUGAUCUAUUUUAUGUCAAAUUUUUGUUCAAUAACAAAUCGUAAGAUUGUUCUUAUGAGAAAAUGUGAUAUUUUAUGAUGAUUCAUUUUAUUUUCUAUCCCUAGGCACUGUAUAGUAAAAAUUUGGAACCACA